AUGCAGCUAGAUGAUGCGUGUUGCAGGAUCAUAGAUAGUGCAUGCAUUGGUGGAAAUCUGCUUCUACUUUCUGUAUAGAGCUAGGAGCGUCUCCCUGUUGGACGCGUGAAGAGCGUCAAGUUUAAUCCUUGGGAUGAAGUCGACGAGUUAUGGCGCCCCACUUGGGCUUACAAGUGGGAUGUGGUAUCCGAGAUGACGAACAAUGUCAAUCUCAUGUACGAAAAGUACAUUGCCGAGUUGGACAUGAUUACUAUUGAGCAAGUAAUGAGGACAUUACUUCAAUCAUUUCUCAUGCUUGCCUGA
RNAcentral lists this ribosomal RNA (303 nucleotides) under Triticum aestivum (bread wheat). RNAcentral's name for it is "partial small subunit ribosomal RNA". The record is from RNAcentral. Lineage: Eukaryota; Viridiplantae; Streptophyta; Magnoliopsida; Poales; Poaceae.